This 319-nucleotide ribosomal RNA is filed under the name Styposis selis. Its description in RNAcentral is "eukaryotic LSU rRNA". It matches the Rfam family "Eukaryotic large subunit ribosomal RNA", at positions 676 to 946 of the family's 3401-position model. Lineage: Eukaryota; Metazoa; Arthropoda; Arachnida; Araneae; Theridiidae. The record is from RNAcentral.
UAACAUGUGUGCGAGUCGAUGGGACUCGAGUAAGCCCGGAGGCGGAGUGAAGGCAGUGGGGCCGGGUCCGACGAGGCCCGGCCGACGAUUGACUGGGAUCCCGGACUCAGCAGAACGGUCCGGGCGCACCAGCGGCCCGCCCUACCCCUUAUGCGGGUUUGGCGGAGUCGGAGCACACACGUUGGGACCCGAAAGAUGGUGAACUAUGCCCGGGCAGGACGAGGCCAGAGGAAACUCUGGUGGAGGUCCGAAGAGAUUCUGACGUGCAAAUCGAUCUUCAGACCCAUGUAUAGGGGCGAAAGACUAAUCGAACCAUCUA